RNAcentral lists this ribosomal RNA (708 nucleotides) under uncultured bacterium. RNAcentral describes it as "bacterial SSU rRNA". It matches the Rfam family "Bacterial small subunit ribosomal RNA", at positions 145 to 893 of the family's 1533-position model. The record is from RNAcentral.
AACACUUGGAAACGAGUGCUAAUACCUUAUACGCCCCAAGGGUAAAGAUUUAUCGCUGAAAGAUUGGCCCGCGCUAGAUUAGUUAGUUGGUGAGGUAACGGCUCACCAAGGCUACGAUCUAUAGCUGGUUUGAGAGGAUGAUCAGCCACACUGGGACUGAGACACGGCCCAGACUCCUACGGGAGGCAGCAGUGGGGAAUAUUGGACAAUGGGGGCAACCCUGAUCCAGCGAUGCCGCGUGAGUGAUGAAGGCCUUAGGGUUGUAAAACUCUUUCAGUAGGGAUGAUAAUGACAGUACCUACAGAAGAAGCUCCGGCUAACUCCGUGCCAGCAGCCGCGGUAAUACGGAGGGAGCUAGCGUUGUUCGGAAUUACUGGGCGUAAAGCGCGCGUAGGGGCUUUGCAAGUAGAGGGUGAAAUCCCGGGGCUCAACCCCGAACUGCCUUCUAAACUGCAGAGCUAGAAUCCUGGAGAGGUGAGUAGAAUUCCUAGUGUAGAGGUGAAAUUCGUAGAUAUUAGGAAGAAUACCAGUGGCGAAGGGGCUCACUGGACAGGUAUUGACGCUGAGGUGCGAAAGGUGGGGAGCGAACAGGAUUAGAUACCCUGGUAGUCCACGCCGUAAACGAUGGAUACUAGGUGUUGGGUAGCAUGCUAUUCAGUGCCGAAGCUAACGCGUUAAGUAUCCCGCCUGGGGAGUACGGUCGCAAGA